This 566-nucleotide ribosomal RNA is filed under the name uncultured bacterium. RNAcentral describes it as "partial 16S ribosomal RNA". It matches the Rfam family "Bacterial small subunit ribosomal RNA", at positions 355 to 914 of the family's 1533-position model. The record is from RNAcentral.
UGGGGAAUUUUGGACAAUGGGCGAAAGCCUGAUCCAGCAAUGCCGCGUGUGUGAAGAAGGCCUUCGGGUUGUAAAGCACUUUUGUCCGGAAAGAAAUCCUUGGCUCUAAUACAGUCGGGGGAUGACGGUACCGGAAGAAUAAGCACCGGCUAACUACGUGCCAGCAGCCGCGGUAAUACGUAGGGUGCAAGCGUUAAUCGGAAUUACUGGGCGUAAAGCGUGCGCAGGCGGUUUGCUAAGACCGAUGUGAAAUCCCCGGGCUCAACCUGGGAACUGCAUUGGUGACUGGCAGGCUAGAGUAUGGCAGAGGGGGGUAGAAUUCCACGUGUAGCAGUGAAAUGCGUAGAGAUGUGGAGGAAUACCGAUGGCGAAGGCAGCCCCCUGGCCAAGUACUGACGCUCAUGCACGAAAGCGUGGGGAGCAAACAGGAUUAGAUACCCUGGUAGUCCACGCCCUAAACGAUGUCAACUAGUUGUUGGGGAUUCAUUUCCUUAGUAACGUAGCUAACGCGUGAAGUUGACCGCCUGGGGAGUACGGUCGCAAGAUUAAAACUUAAAUGAAUUGAC